AUUGAAUUAAAAAUCAUCAUUAGAAAAGUAAAAGUGAUAAUUGAAGAUCUUUUCCCGACAAUAUAUCUAACACAGACAAACACUAUCUUUAUAAUAAGAUAAUUAUGAGAUAUAUGGUGCUGAUAAGGUCAAGUAAUCUAAUCACCCAAUAGUGUAAAAAAUUAUUGCAUGUCAUACCCUGUUUACCGUAAUAAUAAUUAAUUUUUUCUUGUUUGGUUUGAUUUUGAUUGAUCAAAUCAGCCAACGGCAUAAUUAUAUGUGUAGUGACACCCGAAAGGUCUGAAUUUCGCGGAUUUAGCAUUCUGGAGAGAGAUUUUCUCUUAAAUCUUUCUUCCUUUUUUCGUUUCUCUGGAGUUUUCGCCGAGCUUGUCCUCCGGUGGGCUUCCUUGCUCCUCCAGGCAGGGAAGGCAUUUUAUUUGGCUUGGUUGUAGUCCCUCUCCCUACCUCUUCCCGUUUGUUAAUAGUUUUCGUGAUGGGUUUUCUUGGAGGACCUUGGUUCUUCACGAUGAGGGUGAUUUGUAAAUGGUCUGUGUUCAAAGAAGCUGUUUUGUAGUUUCUUCUUGGGAUGUUGGUUUUCCUGGGCCUAAGAGCUUAGCUUGGUUUGAUGGGAAGGGAUUUCAUGGCUAUGGCAUUAGAAACUCCAGGGCUUUCAUAGCUUUCUCUCUUCUACAGGAAGCUGCCUUAAAAAGGUUAUAUUAGAUUGAGAUAACGGCGAGAUAUUUUGCGUGACCCUCCCGGAGAGGCAAGCUGUGUUGCAGCAUUUGAUGAUUAUUGGAGGUCCGGUUUGUUUAUGGGGUUUGGUUCAAGGGGUCUGUUGGGCCUCCUGUGGUACUCCUUCUGAACUAUAAGUGUUGGAGUUCCUUCUAAAUUGUUUUUUAAGUGUUGGAGUGCUUCUCAUCCCUAGUUGGAGAUCAAUGCAGAUGGUUUGGAUGGCGGUGCUGAGAUGGUUGGGCAGCAGCUUCAUCUCUUUGGGGCCGUAUAUGUACUAGGCUUGUUUCUUUAGUCCUCUUAGUUUUACUCUCAUGUUUCUUGCUGUUAUGCCCUUGUUCUAUCUCUUGCCUCUGAGGCAAUAUCAAUAUUCCACAUUUACAUUUAAAAAAAAAAAAAAAGAAAUUAGGAAUAGCCAAGAAUCCAGCAAGAGCGUAAGACACCUAAACUGAACAUCUAC
Molecule: unclassified non-coding RNA, 1168 nt
Filed under: Hevea brasiliensis (rubber tree)
Lineage: Eukaryota; Viridiplantae; Streptophyta; Magnoliopsida; Malpighiales; Euphorbiaceae
Source: RNAcentral